UCAAAUAUAAGUAUUUCAAAAACAUUACAGAAAUUUAGUGAUUUGUAUAUCCAUUCAGUCAGUAAGCAAUCUCCAGCAAUAUUAUAUAUUCAUUUAACAACUGAAACAAAAUAAACAAAUCUCAAUUGCAUUCGCAUAUUUACAAUUUAUCAUAUAGUAUACAAUUAUUACAGUUAAUGAGAUUGGCAAGUUGUAUGUGUAAUCCCAAAUCAUACCGCAGAGUAAUGACCACACUACACAGAACUUGACAAUGAGACUCACAACUGUUACAUUUCACAGUCAAGUUACUGGAAUACAGAGAUAAGGAUCCUCAUUAUUCACAGACUACAUAUAGUUCUUGCAAAUAUCUCCCUCUCUAAAAAUAUCCUGGGUAACUAGCAUUUAAACAAAUUCCAACAUUGUCAGUAGUGCCCCUUGGUACACUGUGCAAAGUGCAGUUAAACUAUCCAAUACAGAAAUCUUUUGCUUGGGCAGAUCUUUAGAAGUGUUGUCACAGAACUUGACAAUGAGACUCACAAAAUGUCACCACUAACCAGCACUUUGUGCUGAAUAUUUCCCCAUCAAUGUGGGAAGGUCCAAAUUUGACUGUAAUGAUUAAUCUGAGCAGACAGUUCAAGUCAGUUGAUGCAGCUAAGGGUUCAAACCUGACAAGGCCAAGGGACUUUCUGUAUGGGCCGGGGAGACAUUAAGGGGACAAAGGAAUGUUGACUUUCAGUUGAUGAGGGUGAUUGAAAUUGGCUUGGAGUCAGUGCAAGAUCUUCAAAUGUAUUAAAGGCAGUACAGGAAAGAAACACAGCAGCAGAAACAGAGAGACACAUGUGGAGCUGAUAGGCAGAAUGUGUUCAGACAGAGGGUGGUAGAUGACUGGGACUCACUCCCCCAGGGGAAACACAAACCAGCAGAGAUAGACAGAGGCAUGUU
Patiria miniata (bat star) is the source of this 921-nucleotide long non-coding RNA. RefSeq lists it as uncharacterized. NCBI's taxonomy places the organism in Eukaryota, Metazoa, Echinodermata, Asteroidea, Valvatida, Asterinidae. The record is from RefSeq and is a predicted model, not a curated record. The transcript has 2 exons.